UUUAGAAGAAUCGAUAUUUGGAAUCUACACGCGCAUAUCGAACGUAUUGAUUAGCACCCGACACGCGAAUAAAUACCGAUACCCUUGUAAUAUAGAUAUAAGGCAGAUAAAGACUUCGACUAGCUUAUAGUUGUUACCUUGUUAGUAUAUCAGAGUUCGUCUAUAAACUUUAUGAUGACGCAUAACAUUCCUAACUGCCAAUGAAGAAACUAAAUGCUAGCUGCCUACUUGGCACUCGAUGGCAAAUCAGCUGUUGUAUUCGCGAUAUCGCUUCAAGUCUAAUUUUUCAUUCGUAGAUUUUUUUAUUCACAGAGUAAAUGAAGAAUUUGUUUGGGAAGUUUAUUUCAAACCUGGAUUUACUUAUGAUGAUGCUGAGCCUGCCGACUUUUUCGCGAAGCAAGUUUGGAUUCGUCGUGUACAGGCUUUCAUGGAUGGUCAUAGUGUUAUCGGUUUUUGCCGCCGAACCUGCUUAGAAAUACCGCAACAACUCAAUUGUUCAAUUCCCGUUUUACAUGACUUCAUGGUGCGAACUUCUCGUAGUGACUUACCGAAAUUUCGUCAUUAUCUGAAUCUUACCCGAAAGAAGAACAACUCAAGUCCUUGAAGGAAUUCCAGUUUUUUUGUUUUUUUACGAAGUUACCUUUGUUUCAUCCGUAACUGUGACAAUAAUUUAUUACAUUGUCCGCAUAGCGGAAAUCGGGGAGUAAACGCCAUAUCAAAUCUUUACCGACACGGUUUAAGUUGUAUAAUAUUGACGUCUGAUACGCUUGUAACUCAUCAUUCUGCUCAUUUUGCACAUUGGCUAUAUCGUUAUUUUUUUGGAGUCAUUUGUGUUUUUCCACGUUUCUUAUGUAUAAAAUUUCAAAAAAUAUUGACCAAAAUAUUGCUACAAUUCCUCAAAAGAUUGGUUUUUAGAUUGGGAUUCUGCUUCUUUUGCCCCCAUGUAUCUUUGCAUUGGUAUGCUUCCUGUAAUAUGUCUGAUUCAGAGUAUACUGAUUAUGUUGCAUUCCCAACGAGUGAAAUUUUUUUAUGCAAGCCCUAAUGUGUUUUGAAUUUGAUAAGCGUAUCACACUCUCUAGUUUAUACCAAAAAUGCUUUGUUUAUGUUGGAGCAUUUUUAUUCUUAUUUUUUGGUUAACGAAAUAAUAAUUUCUCUUCAUUUAUAAACCAUAUCAAAUAUAGGGGCCGCCCUCUUCAUUUUAGAUCUUCACAUGUCCCCACUUCAAUUUUCAUCUUCGAGGAAUAAAAGCAAUGAGCCACAAUAAAAUUUCCGAAUAAGCCAGUAUUUUGAAUGUAACUGAUUGUAUUUUGUUUUAUUGGGUUAUUUGAUCUUUUACAAUGGCGAUAUUCAAGUUUGUGACAUUUCGUCUGCCUUUGCUGACGCUUUUGCAGCAUUAUGGCACAUCUAUUUUCGUGCAAAA
Non-coding RNA from Styela clava, 1420 nucleotides. Lineage: Eukaryota; Metazoa; Chordata; Ascidiacea; Stolidobranchia; Styelidae. The record is from RefSeq and is a predicted model, not a curated record.